Molecule: ribosomal RNA, 635 nt
Filed under: bacterium KLBMPW104
Lineage: Bacteria
Description: bacterial SSU rRNA
Rfam family: Bacterial small subunit ribosomal RNA
Source: RNAcentral
UGCUCCCUGAUGUUAGCGGCGGACGGGUGAGUAACACGUGGGUAACCUGCCUGUAAGACUGGGAUAACUCCGGGAAACCGGGGCUAAUACCGGAUGGUUGUUUGAACCGCAUGGUUCAAACAUAAAAGGUGGCUUCGGCUACCACUUACAGAUGGACCCGCGGCGCAUUAGCUAGUUGGUGAGGUAACGGCUCACCAAGGCGACGAUGCGUAGCCGACCUGAGAGGGUGAUCGGCCACACUGGGACUGAGACACGGCCCAGACUCCUACGGGAGGCAGCAGUAGGGAAUCUUCCGCAAUGGACGAAAGUCUGACGGAGCAACGCCGCGUGAGUGAUGAAGGUUUUCGGAUCGUAAAGCUCUGUUGUUAGGGAAGAACAAGUACCGUUCGAAUAGGGCGGUACCUUGACGGUACCUAACCAGAAAGCCACGGCUAACUACGUGCCAGCAGCCGCGGUAAUACGUAGGUGGCAAGCGUUGUCCGGAAUUAUUGGGCGUAAAGGGCUCGCAGGCGGUUUCUUAAGUCUGAUGUGAAAGCCCCCGGCUCAACCGGGGAGGGUCAUUGGAAACUGGGGAACUUGAGUGCAGAAGAGGAGAGUGGAAUUCCACGUGUAGCGGUGAAAUGCGUAGAGAUGUG